This 194-nucleotide ribosomal RNA is filed under the name uncultured bacterium. Its description in RNAcentral is "partial 16S ribosomal RNA". It matches the Rfam family "Bacterial small subunit ribosomal RNA", at positions 338 to 524 of the family's 1533-position model. The record is from RNAcentral.
CCUACGGGAGGCAGCAGUGGGGAAUAUUGCACAAUGGGCGCAAGCCUGAUGCAGCCAUGCCGCGUGUAUGAAGAAGGCCUUCGGGUUGUAAAGUACUUUCAGCGGGGAGGAAGGGAUGACGUUUAAUACGCGCCGUCAUUGACGUUACCCGCAGAAGAAGCACCGGCUAACUCCGUGCCAGCAGCCGCGGUAAU